Molecule: long non-coding RNA, 6010 nt
Filed under: Ananas comosus (pineapple)
Lineage: Eukaryota; Viridiplantae; Streptophyta; Magnoliopsida; Poales; Bromeliaceae
Description: long non-coding RNA (ACOM_LNC041999)
Source: RNAcentral
UCCAAGAUACCCAAUCCAGAUACUUUCGCUUACAAGUCAAAUAGACCUCGUCUCUCCCGAGCCUAUUUCCUAUAGUCCAAUCCGGCCUAAGGUUUGCUAGGUCCCCUAAUACUCAACCCUAGCUCUGAUACCAAAUUAAUCUGUCCAUAUAUCUAUCUGUUUAUUGAACUAACCUGCAGGUUGCCUCUCUUUGACCUAUUGGUCGAGCUUUUCCCUUGGGUGGCCGUACCCACUGGGAACCAUGGAGUUGGUUCUCACCCCACGUUGUUUUGGGGUGUUACAGGUUCGCACGUGAGCGGCGCGGCGGCGCGAGGCAAGGGCGUAGCUUCGUAGAUAGCGCCCUACCCAGAGACCAGAGUUAGCAGUACCCCGUCGACAUAGCUUAGGGGUAUGGGGUGUUAUUAAUGAAAAGAACACAAUGUAUCAACGUGUAAAUAAAUUUGUAAGAACUUAGAUUGCAUUUGGAUGAAAAAGAAUGUAAAAAGAACUGUGAUGUAAAAAGUAUGAAUGUAAAUGUUUGUAAUAAUAUAGGAUGUGUUUAUGUUGUUUGAUACCUUCCAUUAUGCAAUCUUGAUUGAUAUCAGUUCCUGAUUGGAACCUUCGUAUUGUAUGGAUUGCGUUGCCUUGAAUGUACAGGGGAGACUCUGUCCGCAGUACAGGGGAAACCCUGUCCAUUCGGCGAUGUCGGCGGCGCUGCGACCUCGGCCAAAUAGGCGGGUGGUCGCGAGUCGUGACAGGAACACUGUCAACGACCCACCAGAAAGUCUGGAAAAGCUCGACACACAAAUCAAACACUCGAACCUCGCAAUUUGCAAAGGUCCAGUGUGUUACAUUCACCCCUCCUAAAAAGGAGUUUCGUCCGCGAAACUCAAGGCAGAAACACACCUCAAGGCUCCAUCUGAAAAAGAUGAGGAUAGCGCUCCUGCAAAGCGCUCUCUAGUUCCCACGUUGCCUCCCGCUCCCCGUGGUUGCUCCAAAGAACCUUCACAUACGGAAUAUCCCGAUUCCGCAGUUUCUUCAUUUCGCGAGCCAAAAUCUUCACUGGUUGCUCCUCGAAGCUCAAAUCCUCGCGCAGCUCCACUGGUAUAGCUUCCAAGACAUGAGCUGGAUCAAGAAUGCACCUCCGAAGGACCGAUACAUGAAAGACGUUGUGCACGCCAGAUAGGUUCGGUGCUAGAGCAAGUCGAUACGCUACCGGACCCAUACGCUCCAAGAUCUCAUACGGUCCAAUGAAACGGGGGCUCAACUUUCCCCGAAUCCCGAAUCUCUUGAUUCCUCUAGUCGGCGAGACUUUCAAGAAAACAUGGUCUCCCACUUGGAACUCCAAGUCCCGCCGCCGUCGAUCAGCGUAGCUCCUCUGUCUACUCUGCGCCGUCAAAAGUCGCUCCCGAGCAAUUCGAACCUUAUCCUCAGCUUCCUGGAGCACAUCAGGGCCUAAAGCCAAUCUCUCGCCGACUUUACUCCAAUGAAGUGGCAAUCUACACUUCCGUCCAUAGAGUGCUUCAAACGGCGCCAUCUUGAUGCUUGCUUGAUAACUGUUGUUAUAAGCAAACUCCGCCAUAGGUAGAUGCUGCGACCAUCCUCCCUGGAAAUCCAUCACACAUGCCCGGAGCAUAACCUCUAAAGUCUGUAUAGUGCACUCCGACUGUCCAUCACUCUGCGGGUGGAAUGCGGUGGUGAAAUCCAAUCAAGUGCCCAAAACGUCCUGCAGACUCCUCCAAAAGAGAGACACGAACCGAGUGUCUCGAUCUGAUACUAUCGGUGUAGGCACUCCAUGAAGUCGCACAAUCUCGUCGAGGUACACUUGUGCGAGCUUCUCCCCAGUCCAAGUCAUAUGAAUACGUAUGAAGUGCGCCGACUUCGUCAAUCUAUCCGCGAUCACCCAAAUAGCAUCAUGCCCAGCCUGUGAGCGAGGCAAUCCUGUCACAAAGUCCAUGGUGAUCUUCUCCCACUUCCACACAGGGACAGGUAAACUCCGAAGCUUCCCUGCGGGAACUCGGUGCUCCACUUUUACUUGUUGGCAAGUUAGACAACGAGCCACAAACUCACCAACGUCCUUUUUCAUCUCGGGCCACCAAUGAAGCAACUUUAGAUCCUUGUACAUCUUGGUGCCACCCGAAUGUAUAGCAUAGAGCGCCCGGUGCGCUUCUUGAAGAAUAUCUUCUUUAAUCCCCGAAUCCGCGGGUAUACAAAUCCGCCCACGGAAACGUAUCCAUCUCAGAUCAUCCCAAAAGGGAGUCGCUGGUGCAACCAUCAACCAUUUUACCUUGAAUCUUUUGCAAUUCCAAAACGAAAACUUGCUUCUCUUUGAUCCUAUCCAAAAGACUAGGUUGCACUACCAAAUUCAUCAACCUCAAAUUCACCACUCGGGAGUACUCUCAAUCCCACUGCAAAAUAUGGUCGGGGCUAAGCUCAAAAGCUUCAUCAGUCUACUAAGAUCGUCAUCUUAGUGCUAACUCAAGUCCAAGUAAACUCUCACAAGCCUAGGCCAAAAGGCCUAGCUUCGACAGAAGGCUCACAACGCAAUCACUUUGAAAUUUCCGAUCCCAAUGCCUUUCCUAGCAUUGGAUGCUCCAGGUGUCCAUGGUCCCCAACUCAAUUCUCGCGAUAGAGGUGGAUCAAUCCACCGUUCAACGACAGCUCUCUAUCAAAGUCAUCCUGAUGCGAUCGUCAAACCAAAGUCAAUUCCAUCAGUCCUCAUAUAAGGUUCUAUCCUGAAGGACUCAAUUCCUUGUACGCGCUCCUGACACGGGGAAUUAUCAACUUGGUACCUUCCCUCUCACAAGUUUUCCAUCCAUCAGUGAGAGUUCCACAACUCAAUCACCUCAAACCUGCCUACGCAGUCCAACCUCGCACAUCCUAUCAAAAUACCCCAAGUCAUCCGCAACGGUUCUACAAAUCCACCCAGAGGGCUCGGAUUUAUCAUUCCGCGAACCCUUCCACAGGUAGAGUAUUAUAGGCUUAGGCAGCAUCAUCCUCGUGAUGUCCACACCUAGCAUCACAACCCAUUUGAGGUACGACCUCAAACUCCAACAUCAACAGCAUUACUCAGAUUACUCACAAUCUUAACAAGUACACCCACAACUCAAGGCCAUCUGACAAGGUCAAUGGGCCUCAGCAACGGUCUAAACCUCCAAUCGUGGUUCAAUUUGAAUCACGAGAGUCGACAUACAGUCGGAACGGCCCAACCGGUCCCACAACAGGUGAGAGUGCUCCUCCACGAGGCAAAACACCAUCUAUAAAAUCUCCCUGUCAAUUGAGCUAACGAUUAGUGACUCGAUCGGGGACAUAACGACCGAUCAAGGACAUUCUUUAUUUCAAGGAUUCUCGAUCACCCAAAGCUAAUGGCCACUCAGGCCCCAACCCUCUCCAACACUUACCCUAUUUUAGGUAAGGGAGACUAUCAACGCAUCUAGCGGAAGUAAAUCCUCAAAUCGCACUAUUUCGUGCUCACCGUCCUCAAGGCGAGUCAAGUCAGCUCGCAAUCCAAGGGUACCAGGUACCCCUAACAACUCCACACCAAGGAAGGCCAAUCUAUUUGUUGGCACACAGAAUCAUCUCACGGGGUAGGGCGUUCGAAACGACACACCCGAUCAACCGAUCAUCCACACACGCCGAAAGGUUCAACACUAACAAAUCCUCAGGUUGGGUAACUACACACUAAGUGUGUCCUCGAUCUCACGAUCCAACACGUGGCUUUCCACGUUCUAGGGUCCACGCUCAGACUACCAUCCUGACCAAAACUCUGCCCUACCCGCAGGUACAGGGCCGCUGUCACACACAGCCGACUGCACCUGCCCAACGGGCCCAGGCUCCACAGUCCCCAAAUGGUCCAAGCACGGUCGUCUCCAAGCACUAUCCGGCAAACAGCCGAGCCGGGGUACAACUAAUGCAAUCCUCGUGAAAUCUACAAGCAUAGCAAAAUAUGCCACCCGCAACCCGCAAAUCAAUCGCCUGGCUCGAGAGGCUACACAAUGUCGCAAACAGCGAACUAACGAAAUGUAAUGCAACUCGGUGAAUAGCCGAUCAUAGAUGCAAUGCUCCAAUAACCAACAAUGCACAACUCGAAUGCCACAAACGAAACUGAUACCUGUAGUCACAAACUCGGCCGCUGCCGCCUACUCUGUCUGGGCCACGUACAGGCGUCUGCUCAGGGCCCGUCGUGACCCUCCGUCUGUCGCUGGACGGGUGGCCUUCCGGCCUGACAGUGAGUAAAAGGCAUCCCCCGGCUGGGAUCCGGUAAUACUGGUACCGAUGCUGAAGAUGGCGCUGAUGCUAACCCCCUCGAACAGUCUGACAGGAAGUGACCCUCCUGGCCACACGAGUAGCACCUGCCCUGCCUCUGUGAGCACUGCUGCGGGUAAUGACGGCCACCGCAGAUCACGCAGCUCUGAGUCUGAUGACGCUCGGAUCCUCUAUACAGUGCUGAUGAGCCACGUUCUCGCGACUGGCUCCAGUUCCUGGAAUGUCUCGGCGGCCUCCCAGAGUGCGUCUGACUCGCACCCUCAGUCACGGGUCUCAUACCAUUUCCUUUGUUUGAGCCUUUCCGACGCUCCUGUAAGUCUGCCGCGCAGCUUUCCACGAUGAGGGCGCGGUUCACCACGUCUUGGUAAGUCUGAAGGUGGAAGGGUUGCACCAACCGUAAAAUCGAUGACCGAAGUCCUCGCUCGAAGAUGCGAGCCUUAUCCUCGUCGUCUCGCACAACAAAGGGCGCAUAGCGUAGAAGCUGAGAGAACUCCCUCUCGUACUCGGCCACAGUCCGAUCCUCCUAGCGCAUCUCGGGCAGAUCCUGCUCCACUUUCCUCUUCACGCGGACGAGGAAGUAAUGCUCUAAUAAGAGCUCCUUGAAUCUCUUUCAAGAAAUCGCUGCUAGGUCGGUGUCGGGAUUAUCCUGGAUGCCCACCCACCAACUAUAGGCCUCGCCGUCCAAAUGGUGAGUGGCGAGCCAAACUCUAUCUCUCUCCUCCACGAAGGUGUCGCGGAAUAACUUCUCCAUAUGCGUCAACCACUUCUCAACGAUCCAGUGGUCGGUUUUCUCUCCAUCAAAGAUCCUGGGAUCGCGCCUCCGGAACUCGUCGAGGCGAUCCAUGAGCCGCUGCCGCUCCGCUCUUUCAACCAUCAAGGGAAAAGUCGCCGCUGUCACAGACACCUGAGCUGGUGGUGCUGUCAAUGCCUUCUCCCGAAGGGCUACCGUAAGUGUCAUCUGCGAAGUGUCGAGUACAGGGGAUGACCCCCCCGGGCGCAACUAUUUCCACUGGUGCGGGUAGUACCGAGACCUGAGCCUCCCCGGCAGCUGCCUGUUGUAGAAGAAGGUCCUCCAGUCGCUGCAUCCGUACCUCCUGUCGGCGUGCCGUAUCCACCAGCUGUCGAGCCGCCGCCGCCUGCUGCGUCACCAGAUCAGUGAGGGCCACAAGCUGACUCCUCAACUCACGGACCUCUUUGGAUCCGGAGGCAGCGGGUAUCUCCGCUUCCUCAAAAGUCGUCGCAUCGUCCGCUCCAACUAACUUAGAGCGUGAAGUCGGCAUUGACACUUCAACAUCAUAAAAGCGCAAGUUAAUAUAACCCACGCUAUCGCAACCACGCUCAAAUAAUAAUACCCCAAAUCAUGCGAAAGUAAAGAAGUGUCCCAACUACUAACUCCCGAUGUUACGUUGUCGGCGGCCAACGUAACGCUCCGCGAAGUUAGAAGUCAAACACUCCGAUUUAACUCCACUUUCUAGAGUUAUCCAAGAUACCCAAUCCAGAUACUUUCGCUUACAAGUCAAAUAGACCUCGUCUCUCCCGAGCCUAUUUCCUAUAGUCCAAUCCGGCCUAAGGUUUGCUAGGUCCCCUAAGACUCAACCCUAGGCUCUGAUACCAAAUUAAUCUGUCACGCCCCGGGACCCAGCGGAAGCCCGCCCGGCGCGUGCCCAGACCCGCCAUAUGUCUACAACAUAUAAGGCGUCUAAAAACAACAAUAAUAAAAGCACUAAUACAAGACAUCUAGGAGUAUCAGAACAGAAUAAAAGUC